AAUGAACGUUGGCGGCGUGGAUUAGGCAUGCAAGUCGAGCGGCAGCAGGCCCGCAAGGGCGCUGGCGAGCGGCGAAAGGGAGAGUAACACGCGGGUACCUACCCUCGGGACCGGGAUAGCUGCGGGAAACUGCAAUUAAUACCGGAUAAUGUCCCCGGACCAAAGGUGUGAUUCCGCCUGGGGAGGGGCCCACGUCCUAUCAGCUAGUUGGUGAGGUAAUGGCUCACCAAGGCAACGACGGGUACGGGGUGUGAGAGCAUGCCCCCGCGCACUGGGACUUAGAUACUGCCCAGACACCUACGGGUGGCUGCAGUCGAGAAUCUUCCGCAAUGGGCGAAAGCCUGACGGAGCGACGCCGCGUGCGGGAUGAAGGCCUUCGGGUUGUAAACCGCUGUCAGAGGGGAACAAAUUCAUGGGGGUUCUCCCCUGUGUUUGAGUGAUCCUCAGAGGAAGCACAGGCUAAGUCCGUGCCAGCCGCCGCGGUAA
RNAcentral lists this ribosomal RNA (486 nucleotides) under uncultured bacterium. RNAcentral's name for it is "partial 16S ribosomal RNA". It matches the Rfam family "Bacterial small subunit ribosomal RNA", at positions 28 to 523 of the family's 1533-position model. The record is from RNAcentral.